RNAcentral lists this ribosomal RNA (1369 nucleotides) under metagenome. Its description in RNAcentral is "bacterial SSU rRNA". It matches the Rfam family "Archaeal small subunit ribosomal RNA". The record is from RNAcentral.
GAUAGCAAUAUCGGCGACAGGCUCAGUAACACGUCGUUAACAUACCCUUAGGUCAGGGAUAAGCACGGGAAACUGUGUGUAAUACUUGAUAGGGGAUGCUUCCUGGAACGGUGCAUCCUUUGAAACUCGUGCCUAAGGAUUGGACGGCGGCGGAUUAGGUAGUUGGCGGUGUAAUGGACCACCAAGCCAAAGAUCCGUACGGGCCAUGAGAGUGGUAGCCCGGAGAGGGACACUGAGAUACUGGUCCCAGCCCUACGGGGUGCAGCAGGCGCGAAACCUUUACAAUGCACGCAAGUGUGAUAAGGGAAUCCCCAGUGCUCAUGUAAUGCAUGGGUUUUUGCCAAGUGUAAAUAGCUUGGCGAAUAAGUGGUGGGAAAGACUGGUGCCAGCCGCCGCGGUAACACCAGCGCCACGAGUGGUAACCACGAUUAUUGGGCCUAAAGCGUCCGUAGCCGGCCUUGUAAAUCUUUUGUGAAAUUGAUCGGCUUAACCGAUCAGCGUGCAAGAGACACUGCAAGGCUCGAGACCGGGAGGAGUCAGAAGUAUUCCAGGGGGAGCGGUAAAAUGUUAUAAUCCCUGGAGGACUACCUGUGGCGAAGGCGUCUGACCAGAACGGAUCUGACGGUGAGGGACGAAAGCUAGGGGAGCGAACCGGAUUAGAUACCCGAGUAGUCCUAGCCGUAAACGCUGUGAGCUAGGUGUUGCGCUAACUACAUGUUAGCGCAGUGUCGAAAGGAAGCUGUUAAGCUCACCGCCUGGGAAGUACGGUCGCAAGACUGAAACUUUAAGGAAUUGGCGGGGGAGCACCACAAGGGGUGCGGCGUGCGGUUUAAUCUAACUCAACGCAGAGAACCUUACUAGAAGCGACGGCAGGAUGAAGGUCAACUUGAAGAGUUUACCUGACGAGCCGAGAGGUGGUGCAUGGCCGCCGUCAGCUCGUGCCGUGAAGUGUCCAGUUAAGUCUGGCAACGAGCGAGACCUGUAUCCUCAAUUGCUAACAGCCACAUGUGGGACUGAGCACUUUGAGGAGACUGCCCUGGAAACAGGGAGGAAGGUGCAGGCCACGGUAGGUCUGUAUGCCCCGAAUCUUCUAGGCUACACGCGCGCAACAAUGGUUGGGACAAUGGGAUGCCACUCCGAAAGGAGAAGCUAAACCUCUAAACCCAAUCCAAGUCCAGAUUGAGGCUUGCAACUCAGCCUCAUGACGACGGAAUCCCUAGUAAUCAGAAGUCAUCAUCUUCUGGUGAAUAUGUCCCUGCUCCUUGCACACACCGCCCGUCAAAUCAACCGAGCAGGGUCUCGGUAAAGUGCAGCCCUUUAGUUGUACUGAAUCGAGGCUCAGUGAGGUGGGUUAAGUCGUCACAAGGUA